This 115-nucleotide ribosomal RNA is filed under the name Pseudohongiella spirulinae. Lineage: Bacteria; Pseudomonadati; Pseudomonadota; Gammaproteobacteria; Pseudomonadales; Pseudohongiellaceae. The record is from RNAcentral.
UGACGACCAUAGCGAGUGUGAACCACCUGAUCCCAUCUCGAACUCAGAAGUGAAACUGCUCAGCGCCGAUGGUAGUGUGGGGCCUCCCCAUGUGAGAGUAGGACAUCGUCAGGCA